AUAUAUAUGUAAAGAAUUAUAUAUAUAUAUAUGUUAUAUAUAUUAUACUUUAUAUCAGUUUUACAAUAUUUUUAUGAAUUAAAUUUAUUAUAUUAGGAAAUAGAAUUUAAAAAGUCAAAUAAUGUUUUAUUUUAUUUACGGAUCAAAUCAGAUAUUCUUUAAAAUUCUAAAACAUUUCGGAUAUCCGAGUCACCAAAUAUCUAGGUGGCUAAAGAUCGAAUCGACACGAAUGCUUCCAAAUACCUAGAUAUUCGAUAUGUGACAACCCCUAUUUACGGAUACAAUUUUAUUUUCUUUAAAUGAAAAAAAAUGACUAAUGUCAAGGCCUUUUUUAUUUUAAAUUAAUUUUAUCUUUCAUGUAUUAUUUUGAACAAAAAUGUCAUUUAAUAUUAAUUAACAAUAUCUUUAUAUAUUUGUCAACUAUUUUUAUAUCAUUUUUACAUACACAUACAUGUGCACCAUGAUGUGAGCACCUUGUAACUAAGUAUUCAGCACAACUGAAGUAUCGAUUUUUUUUUAAAGUUGAAAUAUUUUUUCUUAAUGCCUCUUUCACUACCGACCAAAUUGUAGUGAAAUGAUAUGUCUUAAUAAUUUUCAAAUAGAUAUACACAUAAAUAUGUAAAAUAGUAUUGUACAAUUUACUGAAAUUAUCAAAUUAUGUACAAAUACUAUAUUACAUAUGUCUAAUAUUAGCAAAUAAUAUAUUGCCUAAAAUUUACAGUUGCCGACUGCCGGAACAUAAUGUAAUGAACAAACAUUACAAAGAAUGUAUGGGAUCCCAUCACAAUACUUCCUUGUAAUGCUUCAACAACUCCAAAUGGUCGUCCUCUAGGCAGUCUUGAUCAGCUCAAUCGAACAGAGGUUAAAGUAGUUAUUUACUCCUUUCGUUCCAGCUAGUUCAAAUCCAGUUUUGAACAAUCAACGUGGUGUUAGUGCAAAGAUGACACCACAAUUGAGUAAUGCAGAAGAUAAAUCAAGAGACAAAAUAGAUACAAGCAAUCAACUAUGCUUUAUUAGAAAUCGCCUAAACAAUCUAUUACAAGACUUGCUUAUCAGCUUUUACACGUCAGUAUUAACACCCUAACACACGUUACUGACAGAUUACUAAUCUACCCAAACAUGUCUCUUUCCCGUCAGUACUUCAGCAUCUGCUUCAGCACGACCCAAGAACACCCCUAAGGGAUUUUCACCCUUCCUCUAUAAUAAUAGCCAGUGUCUUAUGGAAUACAGACGACUCCAUAGCUCUUUUAUAGUGAUCUCCACGUUCCUGAAACCCUAGUCUCCAAGGCAACAUGAAUAUGGACAACUUCCAUAUCAAUAAGUACACUUUCCUUUUCUUGAAAUGUACUUAUUCCUCAAGGCAUAAACUUGCUCCCCAAGUUUAUCUCUUGCCUCUUUCUCCACGGUAUAAACUUGCUCCCACGCCUGCUCAGCAUCUUGCGUCCACAUGGUCUCUACCACUCCGCAUGCCUCCUGGUUCACUCUCUGACACACACUGCCUCAGAAACUACUUCAACGACUACGUCAGGACAUAAACCCUCAGUUUAUCCUUCUCCAUCUCAGCAUAUCAUGCAUCCACAUGGUAACCCACCACUCUGCAUGCCUUAUGUAGUAACGACUAAUGCAUCCAGCAUCAGUGACUUCGUCGUCUAGUUAGUCACGGAAGACCAUUGACAUCUACAAGCUCCACUUGCAUCUUCACGUGGCAUCCCUAAAUCUUUCAUUAAAAAUUUGAGAACCGAAAAGAAAGGUAAACAUGUUUACAUGACUAUCUAUCACUAUACCAUCGUCCAACAAUAUCUAGAAUAUGCUUAUAAGGGUACUAUAUUUCAUGUUUACAUAUAUUCAUGGAUGAUUUUAGUAAAUAUAUUGAAAGAAAUCUAUUCCAUUUAUAAAUUCACUCAUAUGGAACGACUUAUAAAUGGAAUAAAAUAUUAUUCAAUACAAACCGAGACAACACUAACUUCUGGUACAUCUAUCCAUGCAGGGGUUCCAUACCAUGCGAUCAGUACUGUACUAUUUUAUUAUAAUAUAUGUAGCCUAUUUCAGAUAAAAAUAGUCCAGAUCCACAUGUUUAUACAUCAAUUCACAUUUACAAGACUGUUCUAUUUACCAACUCACUCAGAUAGAAUGACUUAGAAACAGAAGAAACCAUACUAUACAGACAGAAAACUCCUAACUUAUGGUUACCAUAGGUUACUAAACAGAGUCUGACAUGAAAUGACAUAUGGAUGUUAUACUAUGUAAGUUUAAGUACUAUAGUAACUAGUAUACAAAGUAUAGUAACAAAUACUAUUCCGAAAUAGACAAAGCAAAAGGACAUUUGUGUUAUAAAAAACACUAGAUCAUUACUUGGAUUGCAAUUAUAAGGAUCUAAUUCGACAUACAACCGAGGACUUGUCAGAUGUGUACACUCGGUUCAAAUAGUUCCCACUUGAACAUAAUAGAAGAGAAAAUCUCUUCAAAUUGAGAGAAAUGAAGCAUAUAAUCAAAACUGUAGAUGAAAAAUUUUCUAGUAAAACGAAGAGGUUAGGGUGAUUGAGGAAGAGUUGAUGAACCUCGCCGCGGCACCGUUUACAUUGUCGGUGACUCCGUAGAUUUCAGAUGCAGCGAAGCUUCCCAUCAGUAACCAAGCAAGCCGUUGCAGACGGGCAUCUCCUAAGCAAAGCUACUCCGGAAAUGAUCUUGGUGGUCACAUAGUGGAUAAAUAAUGGGAGAGAAACCACUCACUUUCUACAAAGUUACCAACAAAAAUUACUUUCAUAAGUUAUGUGAAUCCCCAAAGGCCACGAUGUACUUGUGUCAGGUAAUUAUUAAUUUAGUUUAUUUUUUUGUUUGUAGAUUUCGCUGGUUGUGUGAAAGGCUAAAGUGACAAUAUUAUAUAAAGUACAUACAUUAUAUCGGUAUACUAGGGUAUUUGGACAUAGAAUGAAUUAUUAAUUGUUUGAUGGUCAUAUGGUGCAAUUUCCCUUCUUAUAUUAGCCCAUUUGAUUUUGAAGACGAGUCAAGUGAAGGCCAAAGGUUAAAGGCAAAAACAUGGCUUUAAAUAUUACAAGAUAUAACAAUUAGUAACAUUACUACAUGAUUACGCGAAAUGAGGAACACUCUGCUCCUUUUUAAAGAAUUUAUCAGGAUUAUACUUGGCUUUACUUGCAUCAACUUCUUCAAAGUCCCAAAAAUAUAUUUGGAUGAACCGUAGAUCUUAGCUUCAUCCACGUUUGUCUCGCCACUCGGAUUGUUUCCAGUGUCGAUGUCUCUGUAAUUUAUAAAUGAUUCUGUCUGGUUACUUGACACUUACGGUUCCGCAGCCUAUUAAAGCUCUUUAACAUUCAAACUUAAGUUAGUCUCUCUAUUUUUUGCUUGUGCCCAACGAUGUUUUUUCUGGCUAAAUAUCGCUUUAUACAUUCAUAUCUGCAGCUGAUGGGAAAUGUUCUCUGACCAGUGAUUUGAGCUUGAGUUUACUAUGGUUCAUGGUUGCUUGUUUGUAGAGGAAUUGACUGAUAAGUGCCAAGGUGGAGCUGAACCAAUCAAGAAGCAAUGAUGACGUCGAGGUGACAACUUUAGGCGGGAAAGUUUCUUGAGUCUUGAGUUUUUUUUUUUGGAUUGGAUGUGGUCACUGGGAAAGUCUCCAGCAGAUCGGUAAAAGCUGAAAUUUUUUGCGAGUUAGAACCGAGACUCGAUCGUGGUGAUGGCGUCGGCGGUACUGGUGACAGUGGGAGUAACAGUGGAAAUGUGAUUAUGUGGAUUUCUUUUUCUCGGAGACUAUGGCGAAGAACAAGAUCUUAAAGUUUCAUGUUAAGAUGUUCAUGUCCACAACUAAUCUAAUUACUAUUCGCGUUUUGGUGUACACGUCCACACUUAAUUUUGUUUAUACUUUUAAUAUAUAUAUAUAUGCAAAUAGAUCUUAAAAACAGAAAAUUUAAAAUAUAAUUUAUUAUGGUAAUUAUUUUUGUUUAAUUUCUUUUAGAAUUUGAGAUAAAAGUAAAUGAAAUCAUAAAAUAUAUAGAAUAAGAAAAAUAAAUAAAAUAAUCAAAAAGCCAACAUUUUCUUUCCCACAAAGACAUAGUUGUCCAAAAACUCUGUCUACCCCCACAAGAAAAUGACUCACAUGUGAAAAGUAUCUUUGAGUAUAAGGGAAAAUUAAAAUAUUUCCUAGCUAGUAAUCUAACUCACUUCAUUUUUUUUUUAAAAAGCAUCGUACAUGCUAUUGUAUUCAGUGUCCUUCCCAUGCGGUCCAAGAAAAAAGAUGAGCCUAAGAAGUAAGAAAGAGACCAAUAAACAACAAGAGAAAUGGUUGGAUCCAAGUGGCAAGAUAGGUGCCCAAUACUACGUCAAAUAGGAAGAUAUAACAGAAGGCUAAAUCUGCACGACCGUGAUUCGUGGAUUUUAGAAAAGAAGCCGGUCUAUAAAUUAUGGUCUAGAAAAGGAAGAUAUUUUAUUUUAUAACAUAAACAAAUAAAAUAUAAAUUAUGGUCUCCAAAAUUCUAGAAUAGUAUUAUAUGGCGCCAAAAUUGUUACAAAUAGAAGUUAAUCGAAAUUCUUAAUAAAUUAUUCUAUAACUUCCAAAAUUUCAUAUUCAAACCUGGAGAAGAUAUCCGUAGAAAGAGUCAAUCUUUGAUGCUAAAGUGACGGACGAGAACUGCGAUUUGAUGUUACAUGAUUGUGCUAAAUAAGUGUGUACAAAAUGCUUGCCAACGAAAGUGUAUCAUCGAUCAUGCAAUGAUGCGUACAUCUUAGCAACCCUUCACCCCAUUAAAACCCCCACAGCCACACCGAACAUGACCAGCAUUCCAACAAGCUAAGCGUACGUUCCCAGAGAGUGAUGGAAAAAUCUUAGAUAUGUAUAUUAUUGGAGACGGAUAUGUAUAGUAUUCAGUGCAUUUCCAACUCGGUCCAAGCAAAAAGAUGAUGUAUUGACAUGGCAGGAAAUAUACUGAUUCUAACAAGAUGUGAAUACUCAAAAAGAGCCUUUAAACAAAAAAAUAUAAAGUAAAAUGACAUGAAAAGCAACGUUGAGAUCCUAAUAAAUAAACCAAUAAACAAGCAAUAAUAGAAAUGGUUGGAGCCAAUCAGCCAAGUGGCAAGUUAGGUGUCCAAGACUACGUCAAAAAGGUAUGAGAGAUAACCGAAAGCAAAAUCUGGACGACCGUGAUUCGUGGAUUUUGAGCUAACCGUCAUGAACAUAAACAAGUGAAACAUUAAUCUAUGGCUUUUAAAUUUUAGAGUUAGUAUAUAUAUGGUGCCAAAAUUGUUAAAAACAAAAAUUUAUCAAUUUUUUUACUAAAUUAGUCUAUAACCUCUAAAAUUUUAUAGUCAGCCCUGGGAAAGAUAUCCGUAGAAAGACUAAAUUUUUGAUGCUAAAGUGACGGACGAGAAUUGGGAUUUGAUGUUACAUGAAUGUGCUAAAUAAUGAGUAUCAAAACGCUUGCCAACGAAAGUGAAUCAUCGAUCAUAACCCUUCACUCCGUUAAAAGAGUAGAAAGUAUAGGUUGAUCAACAUUGAAUAUUUAAAGAACAAAUGUAAACAUUUUUAUGAACAGAUAAAUCGAGAAAUACGUGUAGUUUAUCAUUAUUGAAAAGUGAAAACCCCAAUUUGAUAUGUGCUAAAUGGAGAAAUGGACGCGCUUAGAAUACAAAGCAAGUAGUAUCUCAUAUUAUGGAUUAUAGAAGAAAAAAAGCAAGUAAAGCUCUUUAUUGAUUUUUAACUUUAUAUAUAACAAAAUACUAAAGAAGUAAUUCCAAACCCUAAAAAGAGUUUUAUAACAAACCAAAAAGAGAAAAUAA
Molecule: long non-coding RNA, 5784 nt
Organism: Brassica rapa (field mustard)
Lineage: Eukaryota; Viridiplantae; Streptophyta; Magnoliopsida; Brassicales; Brassicaceae
Source: RefSeq, a predicted model, not a curated record